This 566-nucleotide ribosomal RNA is filed under the name Lemnicola hungarica. Its description in RNAcentral is "LSU rRNA". It matches the Rfam family "Eukaryotic large subunit ribosomal RNA", at positions 32 to 661 of the family's 3401-position model. The record is from RNAcentral. Lineage: Eukaryota; Bacillariophyta; Bacillariophyceae; Cocconeidales; Achnanthidiaceae.
AAUUAAGCAUAUAAUUAAGCGGAGGAAAAGAAACUAACCAAGAUUCCCCCAGUAAGGGCGACUGAAGUGGGAAUAGCUCACUAUGUGAAUCUGCGCAUGCAUUUGCGUCGAAUUGUGGUAUUGAAGCAUCUACAUCACUGAAGGUCUAGCUAAGUCCCUUGGAACAGGGCAGCAUAGAGGGUGAGACUCCCGUUUGCUAGACUUUUGGAGUGGAUGUUAACGAGUCGAGUUGUUUGGGAUUGCAGCUCUAAGUUGGUGGUAAAUUCCAUCAAAAGCUAAAUAUGGGUGAGAGACCGAUAGCGCACAAGUACCGUGAGGGAAAGAUGCAAAGAACUUUGAAAAGAGAGUUAAAGAGUACCUGAAAUUGCUGAAAAGGAAGCGAAGGAAACCAGUGUUCUAUUGUUUCAUAUUUCCCUUCCUGCUUGCAGGUGGGGCGCUGUGAGUGAUACUGUCAGACUUAAUGGAUUAGUUUGGAUCUAUGCAAAUAGGUAGUUGACCUAUUGUACUUGCAAAGUAGUCCACUGAGACUUUUGACAAAAUGGUUUUCUUUCCCCCGUCUUGAAACA